GGACUACACGGGUAUCUAAUCCCGUUUGCUCCCCUAGCUAUCGCGCAUCAGCGUCAGUAUCAGGCCAGAAACGCGCCUUCGCCACCGGUAUUCCUCCAGAUAUCUACGCAUUUCACCGCUACACCUGGAAUUCUCGUUUCCUCUCCUGUACUCGAGCCAAGCAGUAUGAGAUGCAUGUCUCCGGGUGAGCCGGAGCCUUUCACAUCUCACUUACCUGACCGCCUACGCGCCCUUUACGCCCAGUGAUUCCGAACAACGCUUGCUCCCCCCGUAUUACCGCGGCGGCUGGCAC
This 292-nucleotide ribosomal RNA is filed under the name uncultured bacterium. RNAcentral's name for it is "partial 16S ribosomal RNA". The record is from RNAcentral.